GAUGAACGCUGGCGGCGUGCCUAAUACAUGCAAGUCGAGCGAACGGACGAGAAGCUUGCUUCUCUGAUGUUAGCGGCGGACGGGUGAGUAACACGUGGAUAACCUACCUAUAAGACUGGGAUAACUUCGGGAAACCGGAGCUAAUACCGGAUAAUAUUUUGAACCGCAUGGUUCAAAAGUGAAAGACGGUCUUGCUGUCACUUAUAGAUGGAUCCGCGCUGCAUUAGCUAGUUGGUAAGGUAACGGCUUACCAAGGCAACGAUGCAUAGCCGACCUGAGAGGUGAACCGGCAAACUUGGACUUGAAACAGGGCCAGACUCCUACGGGAGGCAGCAGUAGGGAAUCUUCCGCAAUGGGCGAAAGCCUGACGGAGCAACGCCGCGUGAGUGAUGAAGGUCUUCGGAUCGUAAAACUCUGUUAUUAGGGAAGAACAUAUGUGUAAGUAACUGUGCACAUCUUGACGGUACCUAAUCAGAAAGCCACGGCUAACUACGUG
RNAcentral lists this ribosomal RNA (496 nucleotides) under uncultured bacterium. RNAcentral's name for it is "partial 16S ribosomal RNA". It matches the Rfam family "Bacterial small subunit ribosomal RNA", at positions 28 to 507 of the family's 1533-position model. The record is from RNAcentral.